AGGCUUCCCGUCUGCAAAUAUUCAAAGCAUGCUUAAGGAAGUCACCAGUCUCUAGGGAUGUUGACCUAGUAGCUCUUGCACGGUAUACUCAUGGUUUUAGUGGUGCAGAUAUCACUGAAAUUUGUCAACGGUCCUGCAAAUAUGCCAUUAGAGAAAAUAUUGAGAAGGUAAGUGAUUUUCCUCAAAUUGGAAAUAGCAUUCUGCAUAUCAUACUUGCCUGAGCAUGGCAUAUGUAAAAAAUUCAUCAUCUUGUAGAGGUAAUUACACUAUACAUGCUAGUUGUAGGCUGAUUUAGUUACAAGGUUCACUAAGCAUGAAUGUGUAUGAACUUGACUUUAUUGAUUAAGUUCUAACCCUUUUGUUUAUGUGAUUGAUGAAUAUCAAAUUUCUCAUUUUGAUUUUGUGUUCCAUCUGCAUAUUAAUUUCUUAUUAAAUACUCUUUAAUCCAUUUUUGCCUAAGAGAAAAAAAAUCGUAAUUGUUUCUUCUUUCCCCCUUGAGAAAGAGGGGAGAUUCAUUUUGCACACUAUUGCUUUUCCUCGUGUCUAAUCCCUGGAGAUGCAGGAUAUUGAGAGGGAGAGAAAGAAGACAGAGAACCCUGAGGCGAUGGAAGAAGAUGAUGUUGAUGAUGUCCCUGAGAUUAAAGCAGCACACUUUGAGGAGUCUAUGAAAUUUGCACGCCGAAGUGUCAGUGAUGCAGAUAUCAGGAAGUACCAGCUCUUUGCUCAGAC
RNAcentral lists this long non-coding RNA (729 nucleotides) under Vitis vinifera (wine grape). RNAcentral's name for it is "long non-coding RNA (VVIN_LNC005756)". Lineage: Eukaryota; Viridiplantae; Streptophyta; Magnoliopsida; Vitales; Vitaceae. The record is from RNAcentral.